UAAGUUUAAAGUCUCGUGAUGAAAGUAAUAUGAAUAUUGAAACUAUCAGGGAACAUAACAUAAAUAGCCUAUUUUACUUUUUUUUUUUUUUAAGAUGUAUGUCCUUAUGGAACUAGUUUUUCUUUGAUGAAUAUCUAUAAAUUCAUAUCAGAUUUUAGUCUCCAGAGUUAAUUAAGGUAAGUGAAUCAGAUCCUCCCAGGAUAGGGGCUCUCCUUUCUGGGAGGAAGCUAAGCUUUUUUGGAAACUGCAUUAACUCUCUCAGGCCAGUAGGAGAGCAUAAAGUGAGCUUCAGUGGUAAUUUACUAAAUGUAGUUGCACAUAUGGUCCCACAUUUAGUAAAUUACUAUGGAGCAAAAGCUGCCCUAAUGGCCAGAAGAAGCAGUUUGCAAAAAUGCCUCAACUUGUAUCUACAGCACACUAAUACAACCUACUGAUCAUUUCACUUAUUUGGGACAGACAUUUGGAAAGGCUUAAAGAACAAUAGCAGACAAUAUAGCUUAUUGUUGUGUGGGUGUCAUAUAGAUAGAACAUAUAUGUUAAGGAAGAUUUUCUAUUCUAAAAAAUUUUGUCGCGUUAUGUUUAGGUUCCAGAAAGAGAAACCUGCCAAGAUAUUUUCUGUUUUUUUUGUGCUUUAAUUUAGGUUAAAUGAUGGGGAGAGAAGUUAUUUAUUCUAGGAAUGCUAAUAGAAUUGCCAUCUUCAUUUGUAAACAUUUAAACUAUUUACAUAUUAAUGGUUCUUGGAGAUCCCAGAACUCAAUUCCUAUGGAUUUCCAUCUUUGAAGAUUGAAUUAUAAUCAAUUGAAAAUUGUCUUUUUGUCUUAUCAUUUUUUUUUUCUUUUGAAAUACAAAAGCCUUACUUAUAUGUAGUAUAUGGCUCAUUCAGUUCAUAAACUAUUUUGUUCUUUAUGGAUUAACUUUUUGAAGGAGUAGAAUUGUUAAUUAUUUUUUCUACUUUUAAAGUGAAUUUCCAUAUGAUAGAAAUAAUAACUAUAAACUAUUUUGUAUCAUUUCCUAUAGAAUAUUGGAGCAAAAAGCUGAGCCUUAAAUGUGAAAUUCACUAUGUAAAUGGAAUGGGGCUACAAGGAAACAAAGGAAAACAAGAUUGUGAAAACCUGAUUUCAAAGGCCACAAAUUUAGAAAUUAUUAAAGCUACAGAGGAUUUGAUUUUAGUUUUGAGAAGCCCUGAUAGUUAUAUUUGUCAGGGAAAUUCAUCUGACGAUCAGGAACAUGUAAUGACAAUUUUCACUAAGUUUGUGUGUGUGUGUGUGUGUGUGUGUGAUUUUGCUUUUCAGUAGUCUUUUGUUAAUUUUUCAUAUCCUAUAAAAAUAGAGCUAAAAUCAAGGUUGCCCCAUCUGUCAUCUAAUCUCAGUGUCUUAAAAUAAAUCUAAUAACAGGUUUUAUUUUUGAAAUUCACUACAAAAGUUAAAAUAUUAUAUUGAUUUGAUUGUCUCACACUACUGCAUUGAUUUGAAGGGUGUUCUUAAGACAAUCACCCUGUAAAUGAGUAAUGUCUAAGCUGCCUCUCAUGUCAAGUUGAACUAGUUAGCCAAUUCAUAAUUUUGUCAGAAAUACCAAAUCAACCAAUUUUAAUUUCAUCAGAAUAGAUUAAUAUUACAUAUACUUAACAUUUAAUUGUCAAAUUAUUAUUAAUAAUCUAUAUGACCUAUGUAUUUAGUGAAGAAAGGACAUAAUUUUUAAAUAAAAUGUUCAAAUAGAAGUUGACUGACCACUAGACUUCUAAGGUAGAGUCAUAACCUUGUUAGAAACUGGUAUGUGACCUUGGAGUCACACAUGGAGUGACUAAGUUCACAUGCAAAGGUAUAGUAACUUUAUCUCUCUGGACCCCCAUUUUCUCACAUAUAAAAUGUGGAGUUUGGAUUAAAUGAUUGCUAAUGUUCCUUCCCAGUGAAAUAUUUUAUAAUUCUAUGAUUAUAUUUACUAAGGAUAUAGAAAUGAUCUAUCCGUAAGGUUAGAGCCGGACUAGAUGAUCCAAAAGAUCCCUUCAAGCUUUAGGAUUUUUCAGGACUCUAUAAUCUAUAGUCUGUUGCUUAAUUUAUUUAUUUGGUAAAUUUACUAUCUUAAUAAAAGAAGAAAAAUAAAAUGGAUAAUUUGCAUUUUGCUAUUUUCAUAGAUUAAUGAAUUAGAACAGAAAUGCAGGUAAUAUAUAAUCUGCAAAUUGAUAACUAAUCAUAAUGAUCAUUUGUCAUGCAUGUAAUUUUUUUUCCCUCACUGUUUGAUUUCAAAAGGAGGGCUUGUGUAAAAGUGUUGAUAUCUUUCUCCAGCCUCCUUUUUUCUAUUUAUUGCAAAUGUCUUUAGUUAUCUCCAUUAAGGGAUUCACAAUAUUUUAAAUAAAUGACAGCCUCUCAGUUUCAUAAUUUGCCAUACUUUCAUAAUUUGCCAUACUUUCAUUUUCUAAUUUGAAAGACACAUUGGACUGACAGCUAAACUUUUGGCAAUGGGUCAAUGUUCUUUUCCCAAAUCAAUAUGUCUGGAUCUUUUCUGUAGACCUUCUAGUAUGAAAAUAUAGUCACCUAUACUUGCAAAUAAAAGGAUAUUUUAUUUUGGCAUUGGGGUACAAUAUAUCAUCCAAGUAACAUUUAACACUAAACUUAAUAAAGUAAUUUCUAAAAAAAGAAAAAUGUCCUUGACAAUAUUUCACAUUCACUUUGAAAUGUAUAGGUCUCUGUAUAUUUAUAGGUCUACAUGAAGUUUGUAAUAUUUUUGUUUCUUUCUUUUUUUUUUUUUUUUUUUUUUACGGUUUUGUAAUUUUACAUCUACAUUUCAUCCUUAGAAUGAAAAACUUGUACAUAAUGAUUUAUAGUUUUCUAACUAUUAUUUUUUUCCACUAAAAAUCUAUAUCCUUACUAAAUAUGGAAAUUUUUCUCUUCACUAAACUGACAAUUUUCACACAAAGAACUUGUGCCUCCUGACAAUGUAACCUGAGAAUUUCAUUUUUCUCCAAAAGAAUAUUUCAGGAAUGAUAAUAUAUGUGUUCUGGAUUCUUUGUAAAUGGAUUUUAAAUGUGUCAAAAAUAAUUCUAUUUAUAUCCUAUAUUAUAGCUGGAUUCUUUUAUGCAUGCAUUGAGCUCUCACAUAAGCUGCACUUUGUUGUGACUACAAUAAGUAAGUGAUUGAAUGCAUUACUAAACUACAUAGUUUGAUCAAAAACUUGUUUUCUUUUGGGAAAAUAGAAAACAUUUUCAGGAGCAUAUAGGUAGGUGAUUGUAUAUGGGUAUUAUAUUUUACUUUCUGAAUUCAAUACCAUUUUAAGUGUAUUUGUUGAUAGGGAGUUAGGGCCUGAAGUUAAGGUGGAUUAUCUAUUGUAUAAGUUCACAUUGUCAUAUUUUCAUUAAAAAAUUAAAAUUAGACCAAAAGUGA
This is a long non-coding RNA of Antechinus flavipes (yellow-footed antechinus), 3377 nucleotides long. RefSeq lists it as uncharacterized. The transcript has 2 exons. The record is from RefSeq and is a predicted model, not a curated record. NCBI's taxonomy places the organism in Eukaryota, Metazoa, Chordata, Mammalia, Dasyuromorphia, Dasyuridae.